RNAcentral lists this long non-coding RNA (3924 nucleotides) under Homo sapiens (human). RNAcentral describes it as "HSALNT0075708". The record is from RNAcentral. Lineage: Eukaryota; Metazoa; Chordata; Mammalia; Primates; Hominidae.
UCCUGGAUAAUGUCUCUUCAUUCUUCAGAACUUUUUGAUUCAUUUUUUAGAAGCAAUUCCUUCCUAAUUAUUGUGACUGUCAGAACUCAUCUAAUUUUUUUUUUUUUUUUUUUGUGAGACGGAAUCUCGCUUUGUUGCCUAGUCUGGAGUGCAGAGGCAGGAUCUCGGCUCACUGCAAGCUCUGCCUCCUGGAUUCACGCCAUUCUGCUGCCUCAGCCUUCCAAGUAGCUGGGACUACAGGAGCCCACCACCACGCCUGGCUAAUUUAUUUUAUUUUAUUUUAUUUUUUUAUUUUAUUUUUUUGUAUUUUUAGUACAGACGGGGUUUCACUGUGUUAGUGAGGAUGGUCUCAAUCUCUUGACCUCGUGAUCUGCCCACGUCGGCCUCCCAAAGUGCUGGGAUUAUAGGCGUGAGCCACCGUGCCUGGCCAAAACUCGUCUAUUAUAGGCUCUCAAAGUACCUAUGAGAGGUAUAUUACCUCUUCAUAGCAUCAAUAAUUAUUGAUGAAUUAUUUCAUUCAAUAAAUAUUUACCAUGUGCUCUCCAUUUAUCUAGGCAACUCAUAGUUUCCUUUCUAGUAGAGGAAAAGAUGUUAUUAACAAGUAAGUAAAUAUACAUGCAGACAUAUAAAUGCAUAUAUAUGUAUAUAAAAAUAUAUAUACAUACAAAUGUCACGUGGUAAUAUGUGCUAUGAAUGCAAUUUAGGAGAGGAAAUGAGAUUGAUUAGGAAUACCUGUAAGGUGAGAAGGUAAGGAAGAUUGCUGGAAUUUUAAAAGAGUAGUUAGGGGAAACCUAGCUGAGAAGAUGACACUGGAAAUAAGACAUGUAAGAAGCAAGGAGGGAAGCCACAUGGAUACCUUGGAAAUAGCCUACCUGGCAAAGGGAAUUAACAAAUAUGAAGACCUCGUGACAAGAAUGGGUCUGGAAUUUUCAGGGUCCAGAAAGAACCCAUUGUAUCUGAAGUGCAGUGAGUAACAGAAUAGCAAAAAAUAUGGUUAAAAAUGAGGCAAGAUUGUGUAGUGCCAUGUUAAAGACUUUGACUUAUACUCAGUGUGAGAAAGGAAAUCUUUGGAGGGUCUGAUUAGAAGAAGACAUAAUCUGAUGUAUAUUAUGAAAGGACAGCCUUGGCUACUGUGUUAAGAAUAGACUAUAGAAGGUUAAGGGGAAAAGAGGGAGACCAGCUUGGGGAAGCUAAUUCUGUAAUCCAAGUGAAAAAAGAUAGUGGAAAUAGGAUGUUAGCAGUGGAAGUUUUAGAAAACAAAAAGAGGUUGAGUUCUGCAUAUAAUUUGAAAAAGAGGCAACAGGAUUUGUAGACAAAUCAGGAUUUACGUAUGUAAAGAAGAGAAUAAUUGAUAAUGACUUUAGGUUUUUGACACGGAUAACUAUAAAAACGCAGUUGCCAUCUACUGAGAUGGGGAAGACUAAAUUUUGUUUAUGGACAUACACAAUUUAAGCUGCUUCUAACACACCCAAGUGAAGAUAUCAAGUAUACAACUGAAUAUAUGGACUUAGAGUCAAAGGUACAUUUAUAAACUGGAGAUACAGAUGGUAUUUAAAAAUAAUGAGCCUAGAUGAGAUUAUUACAGAAGUGAUUGUGGAUAUAUACAAGAGAGGAAGGUCAAAGUCAGACCUGGGGCUCACCUACAACAGUUGUACUUUCACCCUCCCUAUAAUCAUUACAUGGUUACUGCCCAUCUGCCCUAUUGAACAAAGUAGAGAAUAAGUGGAAACCCAAGGAUAAGUUCUGCAAGUGAAUUAUUUCAGUUCCUCCUUUUCCUGGUAACCCAUAUUCCUUUAACUAUUAGUUACCCAAAUCUUUACCCUUUGUCCACAGGUGGUAAACUAUUCAUCCCCCUCAAUUUAUCCCCUCUCCACUGCAUGUAAAAGCGUGUAGUUGUUUAUUUAUGUUUAUCCAUACACAACAUUCUGAUGCAAUAUUUACACUGUACAUGACAAUAUUUUUCUCCUAACGCAUAUAUAAAUACAUGAGUUAAAAGUUUGAUGCUGACCGUAAUUUGUGUAUUUAAAAAAUUAAGCACAAUUCUACUAACAUUUGUAUAACACAAUCUACCUGUCCUUAUAUUCUUUGUUGGUAAUUCCAUUAAAGGAGAUGAGAUUAUUAUUGCUAUUUAACAUCUCCGGGCACUGAAAUGUUUGAACAGAAAAGUGAGUAGAUGUUAAAAACUACAAAUUGAGAAUUGAGAUUAAUUUGGGUGUACUCCCAAUCACAAGAAAGGGAUAAUAUGAUUUUCAGUUUUGCCUAAACUUUCCUUUACAAGGGAAGAAGUUGGUUCAUGACUAUUGAAAUAUUCGAAUGCAGUGUUUUCACUAAUUACUGUUCUUGUUCUUUACAGAGUUCUAGACUUUACAGAGUUUAUUGUAAACAUUUUCACUAAUAGCCAAAAUGCAUUCCAGGGGGAAUGGUCAAAACUAAAUCCUGCAUACAUGAGCUUGCUUCCACUUCGGUAUAUAGGGGGUUAGAGAGUAUCACUACCAACUUUACAAUGAAACAACCUAGACAAACAGCAAAUUCAUGACUUUUCUUGAGUCUAUGAGAGUGCUGAUGUCACAUGACACCAACUGGCCCCAAACCUAAGAAAAGGCAUCUACAAAAAGAAGAGACAUGUUGUAUCCCAACUUACCAAGAAAAGCCGAUGUACCUAAACAUCGGCUCUAAUUGAAAAGAGGAACAACAUGCAAGACCUGAUUGGCAACUUCGGCAGAGAGAUGGAGAUGAUGAGGAAAGCUCAAAUAGGAAUAUUAGAAAUGAAACACACAGUAACAGAUUAAGAAUGCCUUCAGUGACGCAGCUGAGGAAAGAAGAAUCCACGACCAUGAAGAAAUGUCUCUAGAAAUCCCCCAAACUGAAAUAGGAUGGGGAAAAGAAGAGAAAAUCCAGUACACAAAAGUAUCAUUUUCAGGCAGAGUCUCACUCUCAGUGACAACAUGGUCAACAGCAGUUCCAGUCAUACCAUAUUUCAGUUGCAACUCAGCAAAAGGUUUCUGAGAGAGAGAGAAAAAAAAAAUCCUCAUUUGGCUCAUCAUAAAUGUUUUACCUAUCCCUGAAUCACUGAUCCAAGGAGACAGAAUGCAGUCUUCAAGCAGGACAGGUGAGGGGAAUAUGCUCACUCCCUCCCCACAGAGCUAGGGGUGUGAAACCAGCCCACCUGACCCAACAGAACUGGCAAGAGAGGAUGGCCAGUGUAUAGAGAAAAAGUAGAGAGUUGUUACCACAAUAAGGAGGAGUAUAUGCAGGGCAGGCAAUCACAGUAACUGUCCACUACAUGAGGAAAUAGAAACUCACAAUGUGCCUGGCACUUAAAUUUCUUUUAAAAAAUUUAAUUUUUUAUUUUUUAUUAUUUUAUUAUUUUUUAAUUUAUUAAGUAGAGAAAGAGGAAGUAACUACACAGCAACUGGAGCCUAUGAUAUUGUUGGAGAAACAAAGCAGUAUUCUCAAGUGUUUGAAUCUAUACUCUAAUUGUUGCCCAACAUGUCAGUAUUUAACAUAGAAAAAAAUAACUAAAAGAAGAUGUUUGCUUUAUAAAGAUAUGGCUUAUAUUUGGCUCUUGUGAACACAUGAAGGUUGUUCCCUCUUGCUUUCCAAUUGAGAAUAGAGAAAAUAACUGUAUAAUCUAAGAUAAUUUGGCCUUUUAUAUUAAUAUAGACAAAUGGAUUAUAAAUGUAUGAAUACAAAUAAAACAUCUAAAAUAGGUAAUGCAAAGAAAGAAUAAUUUAUUGAAUUCUGAGUUACGUUUCUCUUUAUAUUCAAACAGUUAAGAGACUUUUUUUGGAUUAAAAUAGGCAGAACUUUGUUACAGAUAACAUGAAAAGUUUGAUCCAAUGGACAUUAUCAUGAAAUCUAUGAAGUAUAACAUUUAAAUAUACCUGUAAGAAAUUCAUGGUUUCUUUUGUUUGUGAUAAUGAA